This is a long non-coding RNA of Penaeus monodon (black tiger shrimp), 144 nucleotides long. RefSeq lists it as uncharacterized. The transcript is spliced from 3 exons. Lineage: Eukaryota; Metazoa; Arthropoda; Malacostraca; Decapoda; Penaeidae. The record is from RefSeq and is a predicted model, not a curated record.
CUGGAAUGGAGGCUUCAGUUCAGGAGCCGAUGAGAUAACCGACUGGGAGGGCGCCGUGGUGUGCAACUGCAGUAUUCCAGGCAAAAGACUGACGGUGCAGAAGAAGGGCCGAACAAAGGGCGGGAGUUCUAUGUAUGCAGCAAG